This 511-nucleotide ribosomal RNA is filed under the name Lasiodiplodia theobromae. Its description in RNAcentral is "eukaryotic LSU rRNA". The stretch from base 141 to 294 matches the Rfam family "5.8S ribosomal RNA". Lineage: Eukaryota; Fungi; Ascomycota; Dothideomycetes; Botryosphaeriales; Botryosphaeriaceae. The record is from RNAcentral.
GUGCUACGACGUUCGAGCUCGGCUCGACUCUCCCACCCUUUGUGAACGUACCUCUGUUGCUUUGGCGGCUCCGGCCGCCAAAGGACCUUCAAACUCCAGUCAGUAAACGCAGACGUCUGAUAAACAAGUUAAUAAACUAAAACUUUCAACAACGGAUCUCUUGGUUCUGGCAUCGAUGAAGAACGCAGCGAAAUGCGAUAAGUAAUGUGAAUUGCAGAAUUCAGUGAAUCAUCGAAUCUUUGAACGCACAUUGCGCCCCUUGGUAUUCCGGGGGGCAUGCCUGUUCGAGCGUCAUUACAACCCUCAAGCUCUGCUUGGAAUUGGGCACCGUCCUCACUGCGGACGCGCCUCAAAGACCUCGGCGGUGGCUGUUCAGCCCUCAAGCGUAGUAGAAUACACCUCGCUUUGGAGCGGUUGGCGUCGCCCGCCGGACGAACCUUCUGAACUUUUCUCAAGGUUGACCUCGGAUCAGGUAGGGAUACCCGCUGAACUUAAGCAUAUCAAAAGUCGG